GCAUAGUAUCCUAUAUGUGCUUUAAGGACUUAAUAUUUACUUUCAUUGAAAGUUUUUCAACCUGAAACUUCUUGUUUUCUUUCUAUGGCAUCUAGUGCAGUGGCAUCACGUUCCAUCAGUACAACUCCAGAUUCUACAGCAUAGAAAUGAACAACAACCACAACCACAAGAAAUAAUUAUUAUGUCUUCAGGAGUGGAGUACCCAGGGAGCCAUCCCAGGACAAUGGUUUAUUACUCAGUCUGACAGAAACAUACCUACUGCUGAAUUCCAGAACAAAACGAUCUGCAGGGCCCUGGCUGGCUGCUCAGACUGACAGAGACUCUUUGGCCAUGGCUGAUGACCUUAAUGACAAGCCAGUAUCUGAAGGAAAGAGAGACUUGGACAAAGAAUCUAUGAUAAAUGCACGUUCAGUUUUAUUGUCAUACUCCACAAUGCAUGCAGAUGUUCGAUACAGUGAGCGUUAUUUACGAAUAGUUUACAGAGUUACCCAGAGUUUUUCCAGAUAG
Molecule: long non-coding RNA, 507 nt
Organism: Dromaius novaehollandiae (emu)
Lineage: Eukaryota; Metazoa; Chordata; Aves; Casuariiformes; Dromaiidae
Source: Ensembl